CAGCGGCCCUAGUGGUGAUCGUUAUUAUUGGGCCUAAAGCGUCCGUAGCCGGUUCGGUAAAUCUCUGGGUAAAUCGUUGGGCUUAACUCAACGAAUUCUGGGGAGACUGCCGAACUUGGGACCGGGAGAGGUCGGAGGUACUCCAGGGGUAGGGGUGAAAUCCUGUAAUCCUUGGGGGACCACCGGUGGCGAAAGCGUCCGACCAGAACGGGUCCGACGAUAAGGGACGAAGCCCUGGGGCGCGAACCGGAUUAGAUACCCGAGUAGUCC
RNAcentral lists this ribosomal RNA (270 nucleotides) under uncultured archaeon. Its description in RNAcentral is "partial 16S ribosomal RNA". It matches the Rfam family "Archaeal small subunit ribosomal RNA", at positions 477 to 747 of the family's 1478-position model. The record is from RNAcentral.